This 342-nucleotide ribosomal RNA is filed under the name Drosophila willistoni. Its description in RNAcentral is "28S ribosomal RNA, D2 domain". Lineage: Eukaryota; Metazoa; Arthropoda; Insecta; Diptera; Drosophilidae. The record is from RNAcentral.
CCCGAAGUAUCCUGAAUCUUUCGCAUUGUUAAUCAUACAAGUGCAUAUAAUAAACACAGAAAAUCAAUGAUAAUCAUGCUAUUAUAUAAUUCCGAAAAAUUAACGCACUGUAUUCAUAUAAAUCUAUCAACACUUUAUCAAAUUAAUGACAUUUAUUCUAUGUUAAAAUGCAAGCAAAAUAAUUUAAAUAAACUAUAAGUCAUAUUUUAUGAUAAAUUUGGUUUAUGUUAAUAGAUUACAAUGUCCUUAUAUGGAAAAAAUGCACACUAUUAUUAUAAUAUUAUUAAAAUAUUAAAACACUAAUGAUGAAUUUUCCAUAAUGGAUAUUCAGGUUCAUCGGGC